RNAcentral lists this ribosomal RNA (225 nucleotides) under uncultured Vogesella sp. Its description in RNAcentral is "partial 16S ribosomal RNA". It matches the Rfam family "Bacterial small subunit ribosomal RNA", at positions 568 to 792 of the family's 1533-position model. Lineage: Bacteria; Pseudomonadati; Pseudomonadota; Betaproteobacteria; Neisseriales; Chromobacteriaceae. The record is from RNAcentral.
UGCGCAGGCGGUUUGAUAAGCCAGAUGUGAAAUCCCCGAGCUCAACUUGGGAACUGCGUUUGGAACUGUCAGACUAGAGUGCGUCAGAGGGGGGUGGAAUUCCGCGUGUAGCAGUGAAAUGCGUAGAGAUGCGGAGGAACACCGAUGGCGAAGGCAGCCCCCUGGGAUGACACUGACGCUCAUGCACGAAAGCGUGGGGAGCAAACAGGAUUAGAUACCCCUGUA